AGGGUCCCUAAAGAUGCUAAGACAACAGUCUGACUGGAGGACAGUUCAGCUGGCUGUGUGACUUUGUGCUGCCUGGGAAUCCAAACAGAAAAAAAUCAUGGCGCCUCCAGAGGACCGUAUGAUGAUCUUCACCUGGAAGAUGCCAUGUGCUAAAUGUGGACUUCAUCCCACAGUCUUACACCGAAGAAAAAAGAGCUACAAAGAAUAAUGAUCCAUGGAUUCUAGAGAGGGACAUGGAAAUGCAUGUUAUACAUUAAAUGUGACACAAGAGAGAUGAAUUAUGCAGUAAGCUCGGUGCGUGCUGAUCAGCACAAAGCCCAAGGCACAUUCAGUGGAGUUUCUAUGAAGAUCUGUAAUGAGUUUCAAGUACAUCAUUUCCUG
This is a long non-coding RNA of Coturnix japonica (Japanese quail), 381 nucleotides long. RefSeq lists it as uncharacterized. The record is from RefSeq and is a predicted model, not a curated record. NCBI's taxonomy places the organism in Eukaryota, Metazoa, Chordata, Aves, Galliformes, Phasianidae.